CAGUCGCCGCGGUAAUACGGAGGGGGCUAGCGUUGUUCGGAAUUACUGGGCGUAAAGCGCACGUAGGCGGCUUGGUAAGUUAGAGGUGAAUGCCUGGAGCUCAACUCCAGAAUUGCCUUUUAGACUGCCGAGCUAGCAGGUGAGAGAGGUAAGUGGAAUUCCGAGUGUAGAGGUGAAAUUCGUAGAUAUUCGGAAGAACACCAGUGGCGAAGGCGGCUUACUGGCUCAUACUGGACGCUGAGGUGCGAAAGCGUGGGGAGCAAACAGGAUUAGAUACCCCAGUAGUCCCUGUCUCUUAUAC
This 301-nucleotide ribosomal RNA is filed under the name uncultured bacterium. RNAcentral describes it as "partial 16S ribosomal RNA". It matches the Rfam family "Bacterial small subunit ribosomal RNA", at positions 509 to 807 of the family's 1533-position model. The record is from RNAcentral.